GAUGAAGAACGAAGCGAAAUGCGAUACGUAAUGUGAAUUGCAGAAUUCAGUGAAUCAUCGAGUCUUUGAACGCACAUUGCGCCCCCUGGUAUUCCGGGGGGCAUGCCUGUCCGAGCGUCAUUGCUGCCCUCAAGCACGGCUUGUGUGUUGGGCCUCCGUCCUCCUCCCGGGGGACGGGCCCGAAAGGCAGCGGCGGCACCGCGUCCGGUCCUCGAGCGUAUGGGGCUUCGUCACCCGCUCUUGUAGGCCCGGCCGGCGCUUGCCGACACAUCAAUCUUUUUUCCAGGUUGACCUCGGAUCAGGUAGGGAUACCCGCUGAACUUAAGCAUAUCAAUAAGCGGAGGA
RNAcentral lists this unclassified non-coding RNA (345 nucleotides) under soil metagenome. Its description in RNAcentral is "partial contains 5.8S ribosomal RNA, internal transcribed spacer 2, and large subunit ribosomal RNA". The stretch from base 1 to 120 matches the Rfam family "5.8S ribosomal RNA", at positions 35 to 154 of the family's 154-position model. The record is from RNAcentral.